CCGGAUAAUAUUGAUUGAUUUUCGGAUCUUUCGAUCAAAGGGAGGCCUCUACAUGUAAGCUUCUGCUUGAGGAUGAGCUCGCGUACCAUUAGCUUGUUGGUGGGGUAAUGGCCUACCAAGGCUACGAUGGUUAGCUGGUCUGAGAGGAUGAUCAGCCACACUGGAACUGACACACGGUCCAGACUCCUACGGGAGGCAGCAGUGAGGAAUUUUGCGCAAUGGGGGAAACCCUGACGCAGCAACGCCGCGUGAGUGAUGAAGGCUUUCGGGUCGUAAAGCUCUGUCAAGUGGGAAGAAAAUACAAAUUGAUAAUACCAUUUUGUACUGACGGUACCACUGAAGGAAGCACCGGCUAACUCCGUGCCAGCAGCCGCGGUAAUACGGGGGGUGCAAGCGUUAUUCGGAUUUACUGGGCGUAAAGGGCGCGCAGGCGGUCUUUUAAGUCAGAUGUGAAAGCCCGGGGCUUAACCCCGGAAGUGCAUCUGAAACUGGGAGACUUGAGUAUGGGAGCGGGAAGUGGAAUUCCUGGUGUAGCGGUGAAAUGCGUAGAUAUCAGGAGGAACAUCUGUGGCGAAGGCGACUUCCUGGAUCAAUACUGACGCUGAGGCGCGAAGGCGUGGGGAGCAAACAGGAUUAGAUACCCUGGUAGUCCACGCAGUAAACGGUGAUCACUAGGUGUAGCGGGUAUUGACCC
This 694-nucleotide ribosomal RNA is filed under the name uncultured bacterium. RNAcentral describes it as "bacterial SSU rRNA". It matches the Rfam family "Bacterial small subunit ribosomal RNA", at positions 169 to 838 of the family's 1533-position model. The record is from RNAcentral.